UAUGGCCAUAUCAUGUUGAAACACCAGUUCCCGUACACUCACCAAAGUAACAUUGAGCCUGGUCAGUAUUUAGAUGGUUGACCACUUGGGAAUACCAGGUGCUGUAAG
Non-coding RNA from Acanthosepion pharaonis, 108 nucleotides. The record is from the annotation of a GenBank genome assembly. NCBI's taxonomy places the organism in Eukaryota, Metazoa, Mollusca, Cephalopoda, Sepiida, Sepiidae.